RNAcentral lists this ribosomal RNA (253 nucleotides) under uncultured bacterium. RNAcentral describes it as "partial 16S ribosomal RNA". It matches the Rfam family "Bacterial small subunit ribosomal RNA", at positions 524 to 776 of the family's 1533-position model. The record is from RNAcentral.
GACAGAGGUGCCGAGCGUUAGGCGGAAUCACUGGGCGUAAAGAGCGCGCAGGCGGUCGUUCAAGUCGCGUGUGAAAGCCCCCGGCUCAACUGGGGAGGGUCACGCGAUACUGAUCGACUGGAAGGCAGGAGAGGGUAGUGGAAUUCCCGGUGUAGUGGUGAAAUGCGUAGAUAUCGGGAGGAACACCAGUGGCGAAGGCGACUACCUGGCCUGUUCUUGACGCUGAGGCGCGAAAGCUAGGGGAGCAAACGGG